ACCCUUCGGAACACAAUACCCUCGGGAAACUGAGGCUAAUAGUGUAUACCAUAUCACCACUGGAAUGAGUGGUGUGCCAAACGCUCCGGCGCCGAAGGAUGUGGCUGCGGCCGAUUAGGUAGACGGUGGGGUAACGGCCCACCGUGCCAAUAAUCGGUACGGGUCAUGAGAGUGAGAACCCGGAGACGGAAUCUGAGACAAGAUUCCGGGCCCUACGGGGCGCAGCAGGCGCGAAACCUUUACACUGCACGACAGUGCGAUAGGGGGAUCCCAAGUGCACAGGCAUAGCGCCUGUGCUUUUCGGUACCGUAAGGUGGUACCAGAAUAAGGGCUGGGCAAGACCGGUGCCAGCCGCCGCGGUAAUACCGGCAGCCCAAGUGAUGGCCGAUCUUAUUGGGCCUAAAGCGUCCGUAGCUGGCCGCGCAAGUCCAUCGGGAAAUCCACCUGCUCAACAGGUGGGCGCCCGGUAGAAACUGCGUGGCUUGGGACCGGAAGGCGCGACGGG
RNAcentral lists this ribosomal RNA (505 nucleotides) under Halorubrum xinjiangense. RNAcentral's name for it is "bacterial SSU rRNA". It matches the Rfam family "Archaeal small subunit ribosomal RNA", at positions 111 to 615 of the family's 1478-position model. Lineage: Archaea; Methanobacteriati; Methanobacteriota; Halobacteria; Halobacteriales; Haloferacaceae. The record is from RNAcentral.